RNAcentral lists this ribosomal RNA (492 nucleotides) under uncultured bacterium. RNAcentral's name for it is "partial 16S ribosomal RNA". It matches the Rfam family "Bacterial small subunit ribosomal RNA", at positions 29 to 507 of the family's 1533-position model. The record is from RNAcentral.
AGUGAACGCUGGCGGUAGGCCUAACACAUGCCAGUCGAACGGCAGCACAGUAAGAGCUUGCUCUUACGGGUGGCGAGUGGCGGACGGGUGAGGAAUACAUCGGAAUCUACUUUUUCGUGGGGGAUAACGUAGGGAAACUUACGCUAAUACCGCAUACGACCUACGGGUGAAAGCAGGGGAUCUUCGGACCUUGCGCGAUUGAAUGAGCCGAUGUCGGAUUAGCUAGUUGGCGGGGUAAAGGCCCACCAAGGCGACGAUCCGUAGCUGGUCUGAGAGGAUGAUCAGCCACACUGGAACUGAGACACGGUCCAGACUCCUACGGGAGGCAGCAGUGGGGAAUAUUGGACAAUGGGCGCAAGCCUGAUCCAGCCAUACCGCGUGGGUGAAGAAGGCCUUCGGGUUGUAAAGCCCUUUUGUUGGGAAAGAAAAGCAGCAGGUUAAUACCCCGCUGUUCUGACGGUACCCAAAGAGUAAGCACCGGCUAACUUCGUG